This 220-nucleotide unclassified non-coding RNA is filed under the name plant metagenome. RNAcentral describes it as "partial contains small subunit ribosomal RNA, internal transcribed spacer 1, and 5.8S ribosomal RNA". The stretch from base 1 to 55 matches the Rfam family "Eukaryotic small subunit ribosomal RNA", at positions 1777 to 1831 of the family's 1831-position model. The record is from RNAcentral.
GGAAAGUAAAAGUCGUAACAAGGUCUCCGUUGGUGAACCAGCGGAGGGAUCAUUACCGAGUGCAAACUCAUAACCCUUUGUGAACCUAUAUCUGUUGCUUCGGCGGCUCGCUCUCGGGCGAGCCCGCCGGUAAUAUCAGUAUCUCUGUUUGAACCCGACGAUACUUCUGAGUGUUCUUAGCGAACAGUUAAAACUUUUAACAACGGAUCUCUUGGCUCUA